RNAcentral lists this ribosomal RNA (429 nucleotides) under Pseudomonadota bacterium. RNAcentral describes it as "Proteobacteria bacterium partial 16S ribosomal RNA". It matches the Rfam family "Bacterial small subunit ribosomal RNA", at positions 355 to 776 of the family's 1533-position model. Lineage: Bacteria; Pseudomonadati; Pseudomonadota. The record is from RNAcentral.
UGGGGAAUAUUGGACAAUGGGCGAAAGCCUGAUCCAGCCAUGCCGCGUGUGUGAAGAAGGUCUUCGGAUUGUAAAGCACUUUAAGUUGGGAGGAAGGGCAGUACGAGAAUACCUUGCUGUUUUGACGUUACCGACAGAAUAAGCACCGGCUAACUCUGUGCCAGCUGCCGCGGUAAUACAGAGGGUGCAAGCGUUAAUCGGAAUUACUGGGCGUAAAGCGCGCGUAGGUGGUUCGUUAAGUUGAAUGUGAAAGCCCCGGGCUCAACCUGGGAACUGCAUCCAAAACUGGCGGGCUAGAGUAGGGCAGAGGGUGGUGGAAUUUCCUGUGUAGCGGUGAAAUGAGUAGAUAUAGGAAGGAACACCAGUGGCGAAGGCGACCACCUGGGCUCAUACUGACACUGAGGUGCGAAAGCGUGGGGAGCAAACAGG